ACGUCGCGGUGGAAUCGGGCGUGGAAGGUCGUCCAGCCGCGGAAGUCGUCCACGCAGAGGAUGGCCAGGGACAGCGAGAAGUUCCUGGCCACGGCCGCCAUGUGCAGCGCCGAGGCGCCCAGGAACGCACCCAGCUCCACGAUCACGUCCGGCUGCACCUCCUCGAUGAGCUCUGCGAACACCGCCCCCGUCAACCCCCAACACGGUUGUGCGCGCCGAUGGGAAGCUCGCGUACGGGCUCUCGCCGUCGAACAUCUUGUCGAGAAGCGUCUUCACCACGUCCUCGUCUGGCACCGGCUCCCCGCACGUGUCCACGAAUCGGAACAGAUAGUGCAGCGGCGAGCGCGGGUAGCUCAUGCCGUUCGACGAGGUUGUGACUCCGACGGAGGCUGCGGUGAGGUGCGCGGUGUGAGGCUGUAUGACCGUCUAUGA
RNAcentral lists this ribosomal RNA (432 nucleotides) under Triticum aestivum (bread wheat). RNAcentral's name for it is "partial small subunit ribosomal RNA". Lineage: Eukaryota; Viridiplantae; Streptophyta; Magnoliopsida; Poales; Poaceae. The record is from RNAcentral.